CAAGAACGCUUAGGCUUAGGAUAAUGAAACUUCAUAGGUACAUUGAUCAUGACUCGCAGAUGACCCCUAUUGAUUUUGAGGUUACUAGGUCAAAGGUCAAGGUCAUUGUGACCCGAAAUAGUAAAAUGGUUUCCGGAUGAUAAUUCAAGAACGCUUAUGCCUAGGAUCAUGAAACUUGAUAGGUAGAUUGAUCAUGACUCGCAAAUGACCCCUAUUGAUUUUCAGGUCACUAGGUCAAAGGUCAAGGUCACGGUGACCCGAAAUAGUAAAAUGGUUUCCGGAUGAUAACUCAAGAACGCUUAUGCCUAGGAUCAUGAAACUUGAUAGGUACAUUGAUCAUGACUCGCAGAUGACCCCUAUUGAUUUUCAGGUCACUAGGUCAAAGGUCAAUGUCACGGUGACCCAAAAUAGUAAAAUGGUUUCCGGAUGAUAACUCAAGAACGCCUAUGCCUAGGAUCAUGAAACUUGAUAGGUAGAUUGACCAUGACUCGCAGAUGACCCCUAAUGAUUUUCAGGUCACUAGGUCAAAGGUCACGGUGACCCGAAAUAGUAAAAUGGUUUCCGGAUGAUAACUCAAGAACGCUUAUGCCUAGGAUCAUGAAACUUGAUAGGUAGAUUGAUCAUGACUCGCAGAUGACCCCUAUUGAUUUUCAGGUCACUAGGUCAAAGGUCAAGUUCACGGUGACCCGAAAUAGUAAAAUGGUUUCCGGAUGAUAACUCAAGAACGCUUAGGCCUAGGAUCACGAAACUUGAUAGGUAGAUUGAUCAUGACUCGUAGAUGACCCCUAUUGAUUUUCAGGUCACUAGGUCAAAGGUCAAUGUCACGGUGACCCGAAAUAGUAAAAUGGUUUCCGGAUGAUAACUCAAGAAUGCUUAUGGCUAGGAUCAUGAAACUUCAUAGGUACAUUGAUCAUGACUGGCAGAUGACCCUUAUAUAUUUUCAGGUCACUAGGUCAAAGGUCAAGGUCACAGUGACAAAAAACAUAUUCACACAAUGGUUGUCACUACAACGGAGAGCCCAUAUGGGGGGCAUGCAUGUUUUACAAACAGCCCUUG
Molecule: long non-coding RNA, 1056 nt
Organism: Dreissena polymorpha
Lineage: Eukaryota; Metazoa; Mollusca; Bivalvia; Myida; Dreissenidae
Exons: 3
Source: RefSeq, a predicted model, not a curated record